Molecule: ribosomal RNA, 459 nt
Filed under: Pseudomonas sp. Tapajos2
Lineage: Bacteria; Pseudomonadati; Pseudomonadota; Gammaproteobacteria; Pseudomonadales; Pseudomonadaceae
Description: bacterial SSU rRNA
Rfam family: Bacterial small subunit ribosomal RNA
Source: RNAcentral
UUCGGAAACGGACGCUAAUACCGCAUACGUCCUACGGGAGAAAGCAGGGGACCUUCGGGCCUUGCGCUAUCAGAUGAGCCUAGGUCGGAUUAGCUAGUUGGUGAGGUAAUGGCUCACCAAGGCGACGAUCCGUAACUGGUCUGAGAGGAUGAUCAGUCACACUGGAACUGAGACACGGUCCAGACUCCUACGGGAGGCAGCAGUGGGGAAUAUUGGACAAUGGGCGAAAGCCUGAUCCAGCCAUGCCGCGUGUGUGAAGAAGGUCUUCGGAUUGUAAAGCACUUUAAGUUGGGAGGAAGGGCAGUUACCUAAUACGUGAUUGUUUUGACGUUACCGACAGAAUAAGCACCGGCUAACUCUGUGCCAGCAGCCGCGGUAAUACAGAGGGUGCAAGCGUUAAUCGGAAUUACUGGGCGUAAAGCGCGCGUAGGUGGUUUGUUAAGUUGGAUGUGAAAUCCC